ACACCGGCAGCUCAAGUGGUAGCCGCUUUUAUUGGGCCUAAAGCGUCCGUAGCCGGUCUGAUAAGUCUCUGGUGAAAUCCCACAGCUUAACUGUGGGAAUUGCUGGAGAUACUAUCAUGACUCGAGGUCGGGAGAGGCUGGAGGUACUCCCAGGGUAGGGGUGAAAUCCUGCAAUCCUGGGAGGACCACCUGUGGCGAAGGCGUCCAGCUGGAACGAACCGGACGGUGAGGGACGAAAGCCAGGGGCGCGAACCGGAUUAGAUGCCCGGGUAGUCCUGGCCGUAAACGAUGUGGACUUGGUGUUGGGAUGGCUUCGAGCUGCCCCAGUGCCGAAGGGAAGCUGUUAAGUCCACCGCCUGGGAAGUACGGUCGCAAGACUGAAACUUAAAGGAAUUGGCGGGG
RNAcentral lists this ribosomal RNA (402 nucleotides) under uncultured bacterium. RNAcentral's name for it is "partial 16S ribosomal RNA". It matches the Rfam family "Archaeal small subunit ribosomal RNA", at positions 473 to 873 of the family's 1478-position model. The record is from RNAcentral.